AUUAACAACAAACAACUUCAUAAUAUAAUUCGAUUGUCUUAAUACAAGAGUUAAUAAUUUCAUAGUUUUGGAGCACUAACUUGACACAAAAGGAAGGUACAAAUUACAACCAAAAGGCAGGUUCGGAAGGUUCAACAAAAGUAACCUGCUAUCAAGCUAUAAGCCUGAAAAGGAUAAAUAAUGAGAGGGUGAGUUCAACAACUCAGUGAGUAGAUAACGUUCAAUAUACACACACGAGGUAAUAUAACAAUGAGAAAUAUAUAUACAAGUAUGGCUUUAGUUCUUAUACGAAGGUUUAUCAAAUAGGCCAUAACAAGAAUAUCAUAUGGUAAAACUCGUCAGAAAAUCAAAAUGCAAUGAGCAUGAGGCUCCGUACUGUGGGAUGAUCAGUCCACACAGGUUGGUGACUCCCCCGACCAACUAGGGUUCAGAUACGAUGUGCACAAAGACUAACACUACCCUGUUAGCAUGGGUAUUCUGACUGACAUACCAUAGGUUCAUAAUCAUAAUCAAACAAACAUAUUCAUAUCUCAAAGCUCAACUCAUGACAUCCAUCAAAUGAGGAGCUAUCAAUUCAGAAGUCAAAUCAUAUUGGUUCAUAUCAAGAAUCAGAUUCAAUAAUUGAUCAUGCUUUAUCAUAUCAAGGAUAAUAAUCAGCAUAUAUAUUAUCAAGAAGCAUGAUCCAAUUCAUAUUAACAAAUCAAAUAUUUAUAAUAUUUCUCAUGCAUAUGGAAAAUUAUCCACUCACCUGACUCAAAAGCAAACAACACACACAAGCUGAAACCGAAGGAAAUUCUACUGACGUCCUGCCGGUAGAAUAUCAGGAUUAUCUGAAUACAAAGGAGACAUAUUCAAAAACGACUCGAAAGAACAUUUAACCUAUUUAAUACACUUAACUAAGGGUGUAUUCCGUAACCCUAUAUAUUUUUGAACUAACUAGUCAAUUUUCUUAAAAACCCAAAAUCUAACGGUUUUCCCGAAAUCUAAUCCAUAAUAAAAACAACUAAUAAAAUUGGUAAUAAUUCACUAAAUAACCCUUAAUUAUUCAUCAAACUAAUCUGCAAAAGCUAAUAUUACAGCUAGGGACUAAUCUGGAAUUUUUCCAUAUUUUUAGGGCCAAAUUGUAACUUUUGUCAAAUGGAGGACCAAACUGAAAUUUGUCAUAAAUCCAUGAAUAUACUGAAAUUCUGACCUUAAUUAAUCCUCAAUUCUGUCCAGGAUGUAUCAUUAUGCUUCAGGGAUCAUUCUGGAAUUUUACUAAAUUUUAGGGUCAAAUUGUAAUUUUUGUUAAAUUGGAGGACUAAAUUGAAAGUGUUAAAUUCUCUUAUCUAUACAGUAAUUAUGUCCAUAAUUCAUAUGUUAUUCUGUUCAGAAUCUCGGAAUAUGCUCCAGGGACCAAUUUGUAAUUUUCCAAAGUUCGGGGACUAAACUGUAAUUUUCGGAAAUUGAGGGACCAAAUUGAAUUUUCGUCAUCUUCAACCUCCAGUCCAGAUUUUAACAGAAACCCCACUGUUCUCCCCUGAUUUCUAACUCAAUUUCACCAUUUACACAAUUCUAUAACUCAAAAUCAUCAUAAUCUUCCAUAAUCAACUAAAUCAUCAAUUAACACAACAAUCAACCCCUAACCUUCAAUUUAAUUCAUCAAUUUAAAUCAAACACAAAUUCUCAAAACCCUAACAUUCAUAAAAACUGAAAUUAAAGCUUAAUUAACAUAUUAUACACAUUAAACAACCUAAAUCUUACCUUUUUCACUUAUUUCCUCCAAUUCUCUUCCUUUUUCCCUUAUUUUCCCCUCUUUUCUCUUCUUCUUCUUUCCUUUCUCACUUCUGCCGAUUCUCUUCCUCUCAAAAUCAGAUUUCUAUUUUUUUUUUUUUUUACUUCCUUUUAUAUUUAUCAACUAUUUAUCCAAUUACUACUAUACCCCUCAUUUAAUUUAUUCCUACAUCUAAGCCUUCAAGGGGUUUCUAGGCUUUUCCUAUCUCAUUAAUUCAAAAC
RNAcentral lists this long non-coding RNA (1995 nucleotides) under Populus tremula. RNAcentral describes it as "long non-coding RNA (PTRE_LNC002792)". The record is from RNAcentral. Lineage: Eukaryota; Viridiplantae; Streptophyta; Magnoliopsida; Malpighiales; Salicaceae.